CCCUACGGGGGGCAGCAGUAGGGAAUCUUCCACAAUGGGCGAAAGCCUGAUGGAGCAACGCCGCGUGGGUGAAGAAGGUCUUCGGAUCGUAAAACCCUGUUGUUAGAGAAGAAAGUGCGUGAGAGUAACUGUUCACGUUUCGACGGUAUCUAACCAGAAAGCCACGGCUAACUACGUGCCAGCAGCCGCGGUAAUACGUAGGUGGCAAGCGUUAUCCGGAUUUAUUGGGCGUAAAGGGAAAGUAGGCGGUCUUUUAAGUAUGAUGUGAAAGCCUUUGGCUUAAUUGGAGUAGUGCAUUGG
RNAcentral lists this ribosomal RNA (300 nucleotides) under uncultured bacterium. RNAcentral describes it as "bacterial SSU rRNA". It matches the Rfam family "Bacterial small subunit ribosomal RNA", at positions 337 to 629 of the family's 1533-position model. The record is from RNAcentral.